Long non-coding RNA from Solanum tuberosum (potato), 696 nucleotides. RefSeq lists it as uncharacterized. The transcript has 2 exons. NCBI's taxonomy places the organism in Eukaryota, Viridiplantae, Streptophyta, Magnoliopsida, Solanales, Solanaceae. The record is from RefSeq and is a predicted model, not a curated record.
GGCCUCAAUGCUUGAACCAAAAACCCUAACCCAGCCCAAAUAACCCAACUAAAGAUCCCAAUCCCUUCCCCAUUUUCAUUCAAUCAAUUUUGAACCACAUAAUCGCCGCCUAUAGGACGUCGGGAAAAGACCGGCGAUACCUCUGCCAUCGCCGUAGUUGUCUCCUCCACCCUCUCACGCCUCUUGGAAGCUUCUCACAGUUACAAAUGUCGAAUAGACCUCAAGAAUGAACACAGUGACACUAAUGUUUAGUUUUUUCUGAUGUAAAAAGAGCCUAUAUUGGCUCUGUUGAACAAGCUUUUCAAUGGUGAAGACUCGAGAUUCACUGAUUCGUUGUCUCGGAGAAGGAAGCUGAGAUGAAAAUUAAGAUGGAUUGGAAGUUGUCAGAAGAAAUAGAUAGAACGUUCCAAGAACAAAUUAGAUUAGAAGUGGACAAAGAGAUUAAAAGCGGUGGAUUCUAUAAUGUCGAGAAUUCAACAGGUAACACAUUGGUAUCUAUUUUGACCUUUUGUUAUAACUGCAACUCUUGAGCACAAGUGGCCAAUGGUUAGUUCUCUGUAAUAAAUCUUGAGCUAUCCAACAUCAUCCCCCAGAUGCACUUCUUCAUUGUUUCUCUUCUUGCAUGGAACUAGCUUGUUUUCGUCAAUUUUGGGAAGGAAUUGGAAAACAACUUAUAAAUAGAAUGCAUUUGGUGAA